GAAUAACCUGUGAUGAGGACACGUGAUUUCCUUUCCCGUUCCCCAGAGAGCUGACGGUAGCUGCGAGUCAGUGAACGGCAGGAACAUCAUAUCCCCUCUGAGGUGUCAUCCGAACAUUGCAGUAGGAGCGACCGGCUUUCCUCCGUUAUCGGGAACGGCGUAUGAUGGUACGCUGAAUAAGGUGCCGCUGUAUGUAAGUAUACACAUUUCUGGUAUGGAGUUAAAACACAGCGGAAUCAGGGUGGUAACGCGAGCAAUCUCGUCCCUGUA
This 270-nucleotide non-coding RNA is filed under the name Aneurinibacillus sp. RNAcentral describes it as "T-box sequence". It matches the Rfam family "T-box leader". Rfam says of the family: Uncharged tRNA acts as the effector for transcription antitermination of genes in the T-box leader family. T-boxes are found upstream of many aminoacyl-tRNA synthetase genes and some amino acid biosynthetic genes usually in Gram-positive bacteria. The anticodon of a specific tRNA base pairs to a specifier sequence within the T-box motif, and the NCCA acceptor tail of the tRNA base pairs to a conserved bulge in the T-box antiterminator hairpin. The record is from RNAcentral. Lineage: Bacteria; Bacillati; Bacillota; Bacilli; Caryophanales; Paenibacillaceae.